Molecule: ribosomal RNA, 637 nt
Filed under: Physcia subalbinea
Lineage: Eukaryota; Fungi; Ascomycota; Lecanoromycetes; Caliciales; Physciaceae
Description: SSU rRNA
Rfam family: Bacterial small subunit ribosomal RNA
Source: RNAcentral
CCUAACGGCUGAACCAGCAACUUGGAGGAAUGUAUGGCGAAAGCUGGUUGCAUCUAAAAAGGUGCAAGAUUGAUUCGAUCGAAUAAAGUUCUAGAUAGGUUAUGAUGAUGACAUUUCCUGUCUAUGUGUCUUGACUAAAUUACGUGCCAGCAGUCGCGGUAAUACGUAGAAGACUAGUGUUAUUCAUCUUUAAUAGGUUUAAAGGGUACCUAGACGGUAAAUCAAGUCCAAAAAGGGUACUAAUUUGCUAGAGUUUAAUGUGAGGGGGCACUAAAGUACUGAUAAAGUGUAGAGAUGAAAUUCUGUGAUACAAUAUAAGGACAGGUAAAGGCGAAAGCAUCUCAUUAUGUAAUAACUGACGUUGAGGGACGAAGGCUAGGAGAAGCAAAAAGGAUUAGAUACCCAAGUAGUCUUAGCAGAAAAUUAUGAAUGUCAUAGGAUGGAGAUAGUUGAUAACAAUUUUUUUUCUAUAAAUGAAAGUGUAAGCAUUCCACCUCGAGAGUAAUUUGGCAACAUUGGAACUGAAAUCAUUAGACCGUUUCUGAAACAAGUAGUGAAGUAUGUUGUUUAAUUUGAUGGUCCGCAAAAAACCUUACCACAAUUUGAAUAGAAAUUUUUAUUUUAUACAAGCGCUGCA